GUAAGAUUGUGCUCCUCAAAGAAAACUCAUACAGGCUUCAGAGUAAUUAAUGGCAGGAUGGACGCAGCGAGGUCAUAGAAAGUAAUAUAAAAUAUUCUUAGUAAGUAUAGUAAUUGCAUAGAUGGAGAAUCAAGUGUAGUAUUCGAAGAUCUUAAUUAUAGAGUUGUGAAGUCCUAAUAGGUGGUAUAAUGAGGCGAACAAGCUCUAAAACGAACUAAUUGUGUCUUAAUGACAUCUUUAAUGUGGAAAUGAAACAAUGGCGUCUGCUCCAGAGAGAAGCUGACUUCAUCUGUGGCUGUCAUUGGCAGACUGGACUCUUCUUCAUCAGGAGGGAGGAGAUUUUCUCCGGCACACCCAGAUUAGGAGUUUAAAUGAGCUCUAGUAUGCACUGCAGAUGCUAUGAAACGCAGAAGAGAUGUUUUCCAGAAGAACCCAUUCGGUGAGCUCAGAAAAACAGCAGUCCGGAGCUGUUAUUUCCCAGCCGUCCCAGUUCUCCCUGGAGGAUGGAUGCAAUUUCCACACAGAAAACAACAUUUGGAUCUGCUGGAAGUGGAACAAAGCUCCAUAGAGAGCAUCAACAUGGUGCAUAAGUUCAUGAAUUUAAACAAUCCAGUAUAAAUGCUUGGUUUGACCUUUACGGUGCAGAAGAGUGACCCACAAACCCCAGCAGUGUCCUGGAUCAUGAGCUGUCUUCAGCAUCUGCUCUCAAACUCUUGCAGCAAAAGUAUCAUAAGUAUCUUGAGGGGCCUUCAAAUGCUGUCUUUGACAGUGAGGUGCCUCAGAGUCAGAAAGAUCAAGAGUUAUCUGUGGUGACACAAGCUUCACAAAUGAACAGUAAACCUCCAGAAAGAUCUGAAGAAUCUAAUGAAUUCAGCUGACGUUGGAGAACAUGUUCCUCCAGUUUAGCAUCUGAAAGGACUGUUCCUGUCUGAGGGAAUUACAGGGACAGCUGCAGGCAUUGACGCCCUGCGGGAUACUGACCCCAAACCCCAGAGAUUACCAGCGCCUGGCCCCCC
Cyprinus carpio carpio is the source of this 1016-nucleotide long non-coding RNA. The record is from Ensembl. NCBI's taxonomy places the organism in Eukaryota, Metazoa, Chordata, Actinopteri, Cypriniformes, Cyprinidae.